CUGCGCCAUGCGGGGCCCGAGCGCGGCUCCGCGGCUGCUCCUGGCCCUGCUCCUGGGCCUGCGCACCGG
Molecule: microRNA precursor, 69 nt
Filed under: Jaculus jaculus (lesser Egyptian jerboa)
Lineage: Eukaryota; Metazoa; Chordata; Mammalia; Rodentia; Dipodidae
Description: miRNA (ENSJJAG00000002177.1)
Source: RNAcentral